GCGGCUAUAUAGUAAGACAACUGAUCCGCACUGUAUACUGUAUGUUCAUCGUUUGUAUUAUUCUAAACAAAGUAGCAAAUGCGUUUUCCAACAAGCACACUAAUAUCCCCGUACUUAUCAGUUCUGGUUCCCCGUAUUCCCCGAUUCCCGUAUUCCCCGAUUCCAGGUUUCCCCGAUUCCCGUAUUCCCCGAUUCCCCAUUUCCUGUUUUAAAGAUAGCCAUUCAAUAAAGGUGUCAAAUGACAGCUAAAAGGCUGAUAUUUAUAAACACGAAAAAAGAAAA
Paramuricea clavata is the source of this 282-nucleotide non-coding RNA. The record is from the annotation of a GenBank genome assembly. Lineage: Eukaryota; Metazoa; Cnidaria; Anthozoa; Malacalcyonacea; Plexauridae.